UUUCCGUAGGUGAACCUGCGGAAGGAUCAUUAUUGUAUAACCGAGGUGCGAGGGCUGUCGCUGACCCGAAAGGUCGUGCACGCCCGAGUGCCCUCACACACAUCCAUCUCACCCCUAUGUGCACCACCGCGUGGCGCCCCCCUUUGCUUGUUCGGAGGGGGGCUUACGUUUUCACACAAACUUUGUAUGCAGUGUAGAAUGUAUUUUUUGUUUUUGCGAUCACGCAAUCAAUACAACUUUCAACAACGGAUCUCUUGGCUCUC
This 263-nucleotide unclassified non-coding RNA is filed under the name plant metagenome. RNAcentral's name for it is "partial contains small subunit ribosomal RNA, internal transcribed spacer 1, and 5.8S ribosomal RNA". The record is from RNAcentral.